Molecule: long non-coding RNA, 448 nt
Organism: Vanessa atalanta (red admiral)
Lineage: Eukaryota; Metazoa; Arthropoda; Insecta; Lepidoptera; Nymphalidae
Exons: 3
Source: RefSeq, a predicted model, not a curated record
UCAAACACAAGCGUGAUGAAAAACUGAAAAUGGACGACCGAUAGUUUUUCUUUUGGCACGUGAACUAAAUAAUUACUUUUCGUUUAUUUAGAACGAACGGUUCACCGUCAAACUGGGGACCAAAACGGUGGAAAGGUUCCUACACCUAGCGGACGACAAUUUCGUCGAAGAUGUCAACGAAGACUUGAAAUGUUUUCUAGCCGAAAAAAAAGUUGACAGUGUGCUGGUGUUUCCGCCGGUGAGCAACUACCGUCGCUUCCUGAUCCACCGCUGCGUGGAGCAGUUGUCACGGUCGGACCUCACCACCUUCUCCAUCGGCGUCAGCGACGAGCGGCGCACUGUUGUUUGCUACCGGGAGAAAUUAUUAAGUGAUGAGGCUUGCGCGCGGCCAGCCAUGGGCCUGACGCGCGCCGCGCCCGACGCGCGCCCCGCGCACCCCGCGCACCCC